CCUACGGGUGGCAGCAGUAGGGAAUCUUUCACAAUGGGCGAAAGCCUGAUGGAGCAACGCCGCGUGCAGGAUGAAGGCCCUCGGGUUGUAAACCGCUUUCAUAAGGGAGAAAUAUGAUGGUAACUUAUGAAUAAGGAUCGCCUAACUACUUGCCAGCAGCCGCGGCCAUACGUAGGAGCCGAACAUUAUCAGGGGUGUCUGGGUGUAAAGAGGUGCGUAGGUGGGGUAAUAAGAAGCUGGUGGAAUCUGCUGGCUCAAACAUUCAGACUGUUAGGUAAACUGUUAAGCUCGAGACCGUUAGAGGUAACUGGAAUUUCUAGUGUAGGAGUGAAAUGCGUAGAUAUUAGAAGGAACACCAAUAGCGUAGGCAGGUUACUGGAACGGUACUGACGCUAAGGCACGAAAGCGUAGGGAGCAAACGGGAUUAGAUACCCCUGUAGUC
This 442-nucleotide ribosomal RNA is filed under the name uncultured bacterium. Its description in RNAcentral is "partial 16S ribosomal RNA". It matches the Rfam family "Bacterial small subunit ribosomal RNA", at positions 338 to 795 of the family's 1533-position model. The record is from RNAcentral.